This 4195-nucleotide small RNA is filed under the name Pan troglodytes (chimpanzee). RNAcentral's name for it is "retained intron". Lineage: Eukaryota; Metazoa; Chordata; Mammalia; Primates; Hominidae. The record is from RNAcentral.
GGGGUCUGGAUCAGACACCCUCACUCUUCCCCUUCACUCCAUUGUUUAGUGUCCAUCAUGGCAGCCAAGGUGAAGACUCGGAGAUGACUGGAAAAUGUAUUCUUCAUGAUCAUUCAGUUCUUGAUAAUCCCAGUAAAAAACUGGGCCUUGGAAGCAUCAGAGAGGUGCAGAUUUUGGCAGUCAUUGGACAUUUCCUUCUCUCUUAGCCCAAGAAACCUAUUAAAUUCUUGCCUGACAAAUCAUAUGCUCCCACUGCAGCAGGCAGAAAAACAGGACUCCAGUGUCUCUCUUUGGAGAGUUCUUUCGUAGCAAAUUCCUGUAAUGCCCAUUCUAAUCAUUAUGCCUUAUACUGGAAAACAUUCUUGCUGGUGUAAUUGCACCUGUCCUUUCUGUUUCAUACAUGUACACACAUAUAUAUUCACACACAGUUUUCUUUCAAAUCCAAAAAGUACAAGCUUAGGAAAUCCUUUUAGAAAAAAAUUAUUUCUAAAAUCUGUCCUGCCUCUUAGGCACUUCCGUAUCCUCAGAUGGCCAGCCACUCGUCAGGUAGCAAAGUUGUGCAAGACUGAAGCACAUCAACUUUGUUUUUCUCCUAUUUCAUAUAUUAAAAAAUCUGUGAUAAAUGCUCUCUUACCCUCGGAGUCUGAAAAAAUAUGUCCCUCCUUUGAGAUGCAAAUCUGAACUUUGAUUAGAAACAGAGUCUGCCUCCUUGACAGCCACAGAUAACCUCUCUUAACAAGUUAAAAACCAUUUUUAAAGCAGAAUGGUGUGUUCUGAGCUUAUGAAAAAGUUAAUUCAUAGGGUUUUUCCUUUUUAGCUCCUGAUGGAAAAUGCCAGCCCCUCUCAUAGGCACAAACUGACCUAUUAUGCCCUUGUCUCUAAGGGAUGGUUGUGCGAGCUGUUACGCUGGAAAGAAGAUCCUUCUCCAGAAAACAGAACCCUGUGGGAGAACCUCUCCAUGAUCCGAAGGUUCCUCAGUCUUCCUCAGCCAGAACGUGAUGCCAUUUAUGAACAGGAGAGCAACGCGGUGCAUCACCAUGGCGACAGGCCGCCCCACAUUAUCCAUGUUCCAGCAGAGCAGAUUCAGGUUCGUUUACUUUGGCCAAUUCAAUAUAGCAAUAAGUAAAUAAAGCUUUAAACUUAGCAGGGAAAUUAGCGUUUCUCUUCCUCCUGCCAGUCUAACCAUAGGCUUUUUAGCAAGAGAUAACAAUACACUGCCAUCUUGCUCAGGGGGAUAAAAUGAAUAUUAACAUACUUUUUCCAGCGUAUGUAUUGUGUUCCUCUUUCCUCAUCUCCCAGCCACCAAAGCAACAGGAACCCCUUUUUUACACUCGUUUGGCAAAUGUGUCUUUGUUGGUAUUGGGUUUUGUGUUAAGAGCUUAACAUUUUUGUGUGUUUUUUAAAAAUCACAAUUUAAAACACCACCUAUUUUUAAAUUAAUACCACAGUGCCCCUGAGGAAAAGAGCAACCGCUGUUGCUGUAAAGGAAGUUUGUAGAAUCACAAUUUUAUACAUUGGAUUCUGUCCAGAAAGAGGAGGGGAGGGAAGCUUAAUUGGAAUCUUGCUUUACAGUCCUUGGCCCUUCCUUCACCUUGUAUGUAAUAGCUGUCUCCCCACACUGUACAGAAUGUAGGUUAGGGGUGAGUCAUGUCUGUUUGUCUUUCCUUUAGAGCCCCUCUCCCACCACCCUUGGGAAAGGAGAGUCUAGAGGCGUUUUCUUACCAGGCCUGCCGACCCCUGCACCAUGGCUCGGUGCUGCUCCUCAGGUGAGCGGGCACAGUUACCUAUGCCAGCAAGGGACACAGAGAGGGGGUGACCUAAAGACCUGCUCCCCAGGUCAGGAUUUUCAAACCUGUAAAGGCCCUACUAACCAUGGUCGUGGGCAGAGCUCACUGUGCCAGCAGAUGCAGCCUUAUGCUUUGUUUGUCAUGUCAUGGGACUUGUCACCAUUCAUCUCCUGAAGACACUCUUCUGUGAAUUUAGAUGGAAAAGUUCUGGGAUCAGGUAGUUAUUAGUGCUCUUAGGGCCCCAGUUGCUUAGAAAGCGUGUUGUCAUUGAACUUGAGUUGUAUAGCUUAUUUUUGUUAAAGGGGAUGAUUUUAGCUCUCUUUUAAAGUAAAAUGCCAUUGCCUUCGAGAGUCCUAAAAUUCUACCUCUGUUGAAUCACCUACAUUCUGCAAUUUUUUUGUAUUUCUGUGAAAAAUUAUAUAUAUGUGUUUGUGUGUGUGUAUAGAUAUAUACGUAUAACUAAAAACAGUAAUAAAGUUAUUUAUCUACCAGGAUAAAAAAAUUCUCAAGUGUGUAUUAGAGAUAAAACAAGUUGACAAAGAGCUUCCCUUUAGGAUAUCAAGCACUAAAAUAAUCGUGAAAGCCUGAAAAACUUACUGUUUAGCAAAAACAAAAAAGAGAACGAUGUAUGUUAAUUAAUUUAAAAAGUACUUAUUCGAAAAUAUAAAUUGUUUUUCAUAAAAUUGCUUCUUAGGGGUAUAAAAGGAAACGCAUAGACACGGUAUCAGCAUUCUAAUAUUUUACCACUUAGGUUGAUUUACUUUGCUGAUAAGAAUUAUGGAUAUCGAGUGUACAGUAUGUGCAUGUGUCACAUAUUUAUGUAUAAUUGUGUAUGGAAAUUGUAGCACAUAUACAUAUACUUAAUUAUGAAAAAGUGUCUGUAUACACUAAAUUUAAAUCCUAACCACAUCUGAGUUUGCUAUAGACAAAACAAUUCGCUAGCUGUCGUAUGGUGGAUUGAACCUUUUGAGGUAAGAAAAAAACUUGCAGUGUCAGCCUAGUGCAAUUUGGUAAGAAAUUGUGUGUGUAUUAAAUUGGAACUGUCUGAUGGAAAAUUCACAAGUGUGAGAAUAUCAGAAAUCCUUUAGUCUCAUGACAGAUAACACUGAAUAAGAGCAUAAGCUCAUCUUCUAUUCUUCCUGGCCAUCCGAUGAAACGGAGCAGAACACAAAUUUCUUUCCCCACUGCUCUGUAGCUCACCUUUCUGAAAUGUCUUUGAAAUCCUUUCCUCUCCAUCUUCAUUUUAAAGCUUUGUUAAUUAUUUACAUCAUAAUUUGAUGUGCUGUCUUCGCCUUUGAUGCGUAUCCUUCUAGUGAAUUUUAUGGCUCACAUUUUCAGAGCACUGAGUUUUCACUUCGUCUGCUGAUCUCUGAUAAGUAAGUGCAGUAGCCCCCCAAAGCUGUCUUAAUUCAUCCCUUCCUAGUCAUACCAUUUUGAUUUUUUUGUAAAUGCUGUCAGCCAUUUCGCUGGCCUACCUUUUCAUUCUAAAUCUUCAUCCCUAUCAAAGAAGCUAUAUGUAGGAUCCGGGACCACAUUUUUCCUGAUUGGAGACGGCUUUGUGUGGAACUCCACGAUAGCAGAGCUCUGAUUGUCUCCUUGUUUCUUUGCAGCAACAGCAGCAGCAACAGCAACAGCAGCAGCAGCAGCAGCAGGCACCGCCGCCUCCACAGCCACAGCAGCAGCCACAGACAGGCCCUCGGCUCCCCCCACGGCAACCCACGGUGGCCUCUCCAGCAGAGUCAGAUGAGGAAAACCGACAGAAGACCCGGCCACGAACAAAAAUUUCAGUGGAAGCCUUGGGAAUCCUCCAGAGUUUCAUACAAGACGUGGGCCUGUACCCUGACGAAGAGGCCAUCCAGACUCUGUCUGCCCAGCUCGACCUUCCCAAGUACACCAUCAUCAAGUUCUUUCAGAACCAGCGGUACUAUCUCAAGCACCACGGCAAACUGAAGGACAAUUCCGGUUUAGAGGUCGAUGUGGCAGAAUAUAAAGAAGAGGAGCUGCUGAAGGAUUUGGAAGAGAGUGUCCAAGAUAAAAAUACUAACACCCUUUUUUCAGUGAAACUAGAAGAAGAGCUGUCAGUGGAAGGAAACACAGACAUUAAUACUGAUUUGAAAGACUGAGAUAAAAGUAUUUGUUUCGUUCAACAGUGCCACUGGUAUUUACUAACAAAAUGAAAAGUCCACCUUGUCUUCUCUCAGAAAACCUUUGUUGUUCAUUGUUUGGCCAAUGAAUCUUCAAAAACUUGCACAAACAGAAAAGUUGGAAAAGGAUAAUACAGACUGCACUAAAUGUUUUUCUCUGUUUUACAAACUGCUUGGCAGCCCCAGGUGAAGCAUCAAGGAUUGUUUGGUAUUAAAAUUUGUGUUCACGGGAUGCACCAAAGUGUGUACCCCGUAAGCAUGAAA